GACGAACGCUGGCGGCGUGCUUAACACAUGCAAGUCGAACGGAAAGGCCCUGCUUUUGUGGGGUGCUCGAGUGGCGAACGGGUGAGUAACACGUGAGUAACCUGCCCUUGACUUUGGGAUAACUUCAGGAAACUGGGGCUAAUACCGGAUAGGAGCUCCUGCUGCAUGGUGGGGGUUGGAAAGUUUCGGCGGUUGGGGAUGGACUCGCGGCUUAUCAGCUUGUUGGUGGGGUAGUGGCUUACCAAGGCUUUGACGGGUAGCCGGACUGAGAGGGUGACCGGCCACAUUGGGACUGAGAUACGGCCCAGACUCCGACGGGAGGCAGAAGUGGGGAAUAUUGCACAAUGGGCGGAAGCCUGAUGCAGCAACGCCGCGUGCGGGAUGACGGCCUUCGGGUUGUAAACCGCUUUCGCCUGUGACGAAGCGUGAGUGACGGUAAUGGGUAAAGAAGCACCGGCUAACUACGUG
RNAcentral lists this ribosomal RNA (468 nucleotides) under uncultured bacterium. RNAcentral describes it as "partial 16S ribosomal RNA". It matches the Rfam family "Bacterial small subunit ribosomal RNA", at positions 28 to 507 of the family's 1533-position model. The record is from RNAcentral.